Molecule: ribosomal RNA, 253 nt
Filed under: uncultured bacterium
Lineage: Bacteria
Description: partial 16S ribosomal RNA
Rfam family: Bacterial small subunit ribosomal RNA
Source: RNAcentral
UACGGAGGAUGCAAGCGUUAUCCGGAAUGAUUGGGCGUAAAGCGUCCGCAGGUGGCUAUGUAAGUCUGCUGUUAAAGAGUGAGGCUCAACCUCAUAAGAGCAGUGGAAACUACAUGGCUAGAGUGCGUUCGGGGCAGAGGGAAUUCCUGGUGUAGCGGUGAAAUGCGUAGAGAUCAGGAAGAACACCCGUGGCGAAGGCGGCUCUCUGGGACGGUACUGACGCUGAGACGCGAAAGCGUGGGGAGCGAACAGG